UAUAAGAAUGCAAUGAAUGAAUUCGAUCUUCAAUUUAAAAUAUUUACACUAGUGGAUACCACAAAAUCUUAUUUUAUACUUAAUGAAAGUAUAAUAUUAAAUCUAAGUGUUUAUUUAAUCUACCGUUUUGAUGCAAUAUGCAUUCUAUGAAAUUUUUUUCAACGGUUAAGCUGUCAAACUUAUUUGUACACACUUUGAGAUUGCAUACGUAAAAAAUCAUAAAAGACAAACAUUAAGAAAUUAUGUAAUGGAACAAAAGUUUUUCGACGGUUAUAAACGAAAAAUCACAAUUUAAUGGUUAUUUUAGCUCCGAUAUUAAUGAUUUUUUACAGUUACACUUCUCGACCCUAUAAGAAUGUAAUGAAUAAAUUUGAUCUUCAUUUUAAAAUAUUUAC
This 395-nucleotide long non-coding RNA is filed under the name Malus domestica (apple). RNAcentral's name for it is "long non-coding RNA (MDOM_LNC012398)". Lineage: Eukaryota; Viridiplantae; Streptophyta; Magnoliopsida; Rosales; Rosaceae. The record is from RNAcentral.